UCAGGUGAUUAUUCUGAACCAUCCAGGCCAAAUUAGUGCUAGCUAUGCUCCUGUUCUGGAUUGUCACACAGCACAUAGCAUGCAAGUUUGCUGAGCUUAAAGAAAAGAUCGAUCAUCGUUCUGGUAAGAAGCUGAAAGAUGGCCCCAAAUUCCUGAAGUCUGGUGAUGCUGCCAUUGUUGAUAUGGUCCCUGGCAAGCCCAUGUAUGUUGAGAGCUUCUCUGACUAUCCUCCACUUGGUCGUUUUGCUGUUCGUGACAUGAGGCAGACAGUUGCUGUGGGUGUCAUCAAAGCUGUGGACAAGAAGGCUACUGGAGCUGGCAAAGUCACCAAGUCUGCUCAGAAAGCUCAGAAGGCUAAAUGAAUAUUAUCCCUAACACCUGCCACCCCAGUCUUAAUCAGUGGUGGAAGAACGGUCUCAGAACUGUUUGUCUCAAUUGGCCAUUUAAGUUUAAUAGUAAAAGACUGGUUAAUGAUUACAAUGCAUCGUAAAACCUUCAGA
Molecule: RNA transcript, 500 nt
Organism: Mus pahari (shrew mouse)
Lineage: Eukaryota; Metazoa; Chordata; Mammalia; Rodentia; Muridae
Gene name: elongation factor 1-alpha 1 pseudogene
Exons: 1
Source: RefSeq, a predicted model, not a curated record